CCUACGGGAGGCAGCAGUGGGGAAUAUUGCACAAUGGGGGAAACCCUGAUGCAGCAACGCCGCGUGCGUGAAGAAGUCUUUCGGUAUGUAAAGCUCUAUCAGCAGGGACGAAGAUGACGGUACCUGAGUAAGAAGCCCCGGCUAACUACGUGCCAGCAGCCGCGGUAAUACGUAGGGGGCAAGCGUUAUCCGGAUUUACUGGGUGUAAAGGGAGCGUAGACGGUGAGACAAGUCAGAGGUGAAAGCUCGGGGCUCAACCCCGGGACUGAUUUGGAAACUGCCUGACUGGAGUGCUGGAGAGGCAGGCGGAAUGCCUAGUGUAGCGGUGAAAUGCGUAGAUAUUAGGAAGAACACCAGUUGCGAAGGCGGCUUGCUAGACAGUAACUGACGUUGAUGCACGAAAGCGUGGGGAGCAAACAGGAUGAGAUACCCUUGUAGUC
RNAcentral lists this ribosomal RNA (440 nucleotides) under uncultured bacterium. RNAcentral's name for it is "partial 16S ribosomal RNA". It matches the Rfam family "Bacterial small subunit ribosomal RNA", at positions 338 to 795 of the family's 1533-position model. The record is from RNAcentral.